GCAAUUUGUCUUAAAGAAAGAGUAAUACUCUCUUCGAAUUUCUUUUUUACUCCUUAUUUCAUUUUGGUUUUAUGUGGUCAUUUUAGUCAUAUACUUUAUGUCCUUAUAUUGUGUUCUAAUUACACUCUUUCGGGUUAGAACUUUUGCUUGCAAUAAUAGUGUUUCGACUGCAUUUUAAACUUUGUUCAUUUACAACAUAUACAACCGUUAAACCGCUAAAAUAAAUACCCAGUACAACAAAAGUUCGUGAUGAUGCCUUAAUGUGAUUUUUCCCUCGUCAGCUUUCUCUGGGAAAGAAGGACCAUAUGCUCAAACAACUGUUUCAGCAGUUCCUAAAGUCAGUAAUGCCAGGGAUGGUUGGAAAAUAAUUAGAGCAUCGUCGAAGGUCCAAUUUUUGCAUACUGAUGAAAGAGAACUAGCUAUGUCGGAGAAGAUUGAUUUGAGACCUUCUAUAUGACGCAUGCUGUCGCAAGGGCAUUGAAGAUCAUGGCACAGUGUAGUACAUUGUUGAUGAAGUGAUUGCUAGUAGGUUGUGUGAAUUUACUUUUUGCCUGCAUUUUCAGAAAAAAUGAACAUUCCAGAGACUCGUUACUUGUUGGAAAUAAAGACCAUCGCCAUUCAUGGGAAAAAUCUAGAUAGCAAAAUUGUGAACUCCAUCACCAAUAGAAGAAUUCUCCAUAAAAUUGAAGGCGGCAAACUCACCGACAUUCACGACUAUAAAUAUGGUAUCAAUUGUAUUGUGUAUGCAAAUGAGAAGAGAUAAAGUGAAGUGAAAGGCAGUGAAUUGUCAUGUCCAAGUGUCAUUUGUAUAAAUUUUUGUCUCAAUAAAAUAAUAAUUUUCUGGG
RNAcentral lists this long non-coding RNA (845 nucleotides) under Olea europaea subsp. europaea. Lineage: Eukaryota; Viridiplantae; Streptophyta; Magnoliopsida; Lamiales; Oleaceae. The record is from RNAcentral.